CUAUGACUACAGAAAUAGGGAGAAUCUGCUAUUGUCUGAAAUUUGACUUAUACCCUUUGUAAGUAGAUACUACUGAAUGAAUUGACCAUGCAAAUACUCGAUAUUUUAUUAGAAGAAUCUUCGAAGGAAUUACUAUCAGUAAGAACUGGAAAAUAACAGAAAAUUUGAUGUCCUCAAAACAAGUGGUCAUGGAUCAGGAAAUUCUGAGUACUUGAUGCAUUUUCAACUACAUACAGUUGGCACUUGCAAAAGUGAAAUAUUUUUAUUCAAUUCAUUAAAUAUGAUUGUCUGUAAAAUUUAAUUACCCAGUGUUAUUUUGUUCGUCUGAAACAUCUGGAAAUUUCAUUUCUAUUAUCAGGGAAGAUCCUAAAUGAAAUUUUAGUAGAUGCUUUGAGUUAUGAGAGAAAUACUGGAAUGGUCACAGUACUUACAGACAUUAAGUACCAUGUACUAUACCUAUGUGCAUGAAAAUAUUGCCCUGUAGUGUCCCAAGACUGUAUAUUUUCUCAUUUUUGCAACUGAGAAAAUGUUAUAAGUAAAACUAGGUGUACAAAAUAUUGCUUGCCAGAGAAAAGUUCUUGAUCUAGCGUUGGGAAAAUUGAAAUGACAACGAGUGAUGUGUUCAUAAUUCAGACUCUAUUAUAAUUAUUUUAGCUAUCAAUCUUUUCAACCAUGCCCGUAAACAGCUCUGCGUCUUGGUGUCUUCAGUAUUUUAUAAAUUUCUCAUAAUGGAUGCCACAGCUCUCAUUUUUCCAACUGGUGCUCCCAUUCAUAAACCCUUUUUUCCCCUAAAUUCUCAUAGCUAUGACUGUUUCGUCCUCCAAGCAAUUUGCUAAAAUCAUACAAGUCUCUCCACUUAAGUUCUACAAAUAAGAUGCCAAUUUUACCCUACUUCUCCGAGAAACUCCACACUACAAAGCUAUUGUGAGGUGGCCCUUCCAAUUUUCUCAUAAGCUGCUGCCUUGAUCAUGACUGAUUAUUUUCCUCUCUUUUUCCAGGCUAUGGUGCUGGUUACGAUUACUAUGGCGCAGCCUAUGGCGGUGGCUAUGGAACCGGCUAUGACUCAUAUGGAUAUGGUGGCUACGGCGGCUAUGGUGGGGGUUAUGGCGGUGGCAAGACAAGGGGAGGAGGGCGUGGUUCUAGACACGCUCCUUAUUAAAUCAAUCUCACUUUAAAUUCAUCUUCUUAAUAUGUGUAUCCUCAUUUUAAUUUUCUCUUUGAUGAGGCCGCCAUCCCUACAAAUCCUAGCACGGGUCAACCCCGAUGAAAGAUUGAUCAGUCCAUUGCCUCAUCAAUCGCUCAUUCCAUGUAAAAUUGAAAAGUAGGAAAGUAAAAUACAUCGGAGCCGUGACCUAGGAGGUCUGGAAUGGUCUCUACGCCUAAUGAAGGAGUGAACCUCUAUCUCAAACAAAUCAAUGUACAGUUAAACUAUUAUUGAUAAAGAUGUAAAAAGAAUUUUUUAAGUUUUGAAUCAAGUCAUAACCCUCAACAUGAUUCUGUGUGAAGUGUUUUAAUGUGGACAGAUGUGUACAAUUCUCCCCUCCAUAUUUUGCUUUACAAACUUUUUAUCUCAUAAGUUAAUAUUUAAUAGGUUUUAUUUAUUAACUUAUUUUUUUUUCUAUUUUUUAUCUUGUAUGUAUCGUGUUGUAUUGGUUAUGUCAGUUGAUGAAAGCAAUCAACACCAGAAUAAACAAUUAAUUAGUGUAAUUUAGUUUCUUUUCAUUUCAAUUUUUCAUUCUUACACCAAAAAUUCCAUACGCAAGCCUUAGGCUUUUUUUAAUACAAAAACUUAUUUAAUUUCAUUCCUUGAAGUCCUUGAGGUUGUGGAGCGCGAGCUCCGCUUCCUCAAGAAGCAUCAACUGAAAUGAACCAUCUGAAUUUUUGCAUCUCGUGUCGUUGCCCAAACUUAUUUUCCCCCAGUAUGCCCUGUACACAGAGAGCUCAAGGAAUGUUGUUACCACUUCUCCGAAUUUGAAAACAAUGAAAAAUCCAAAGCAACUCCUGUUUCUCAAAGAAAGAGAGGUAGCCCUCCCACUAUAUUUGUUACACUUUAUUGGGUGUUGUAACAAUUCUAAACGAAAAACUGUAGCAAGCUUCAUUAUAAUUAGAAGAAUAUGGUUCUGUGUUCGCUAUUUCUUGCGGCUUCAGUUCUUCCAAUUGUUCCUCAAAUCCUGAAGGUUGUAGACAUUCUCUUGAUCUCUCUGUACAUCUCAAACCCCCGUUAGAAGAUUCAAAUUUAAUAGCACAUUCUCUUGAUCUCUCUGUAUAUCUCAAACCCCCCGUUAGACGAUUUAAAUUGAAUAGCCUGCUUCAAAAAAUUCUCAACUCCUAAAGAAAACUAAAAUCCUGGUGGGGAGACAAAACUGAACUGAGCUAAGAAAUUUUCGGGAAAAUUUUUUGGUGCCUCCAGUCCAGUUUCCUGAAAGAGCCACAAAUAUGAAACCCUCACUAUCAGGUCCUUCAAUUAUACCACAUGAUAAUUUUUUAACCUUGGAAAUUAGGAGAAAUAAGGAGAGAAACUGAAGAAAUGAAUGUAACAUAAAAAGUCAUUUUUUUUUUUUAAAUGAAAUUGAACUUAUAAUUUCGAAGACAGACUUUCAGUUCAAAUCCACACACUCUAAAGUUCGAGUAAAUAAUCUGAUGGACCUCCAGAGUUGAAUGAGAAUCAUGAAUUAUAUUACCGGAGGGAGAUGAUCAAGAUAGUUGUUAAAUGGCAAUGCAUCCUUGAAAUAUUCAAUGCCCAUGUUGCUAUCAACUCUAUUUUUCUUUCUUCUCACUGAAUGCUGCUAAGCAGUUAAGAAAGUCACAUUGACCCAAAGCAAUUUUCCCAGGUGAAAUCUAUCAAAUUGUAUAAAAUUAUGUCUUAUCAUUCUGUUAAGGGAAAGGAUUUUAUAAACUAAUAAUUAAUGAUGACUGGGUCUCUUGUCUCCCUGUAGUCCCACAUCAGAACACUAAGUUUGUCCCACUAAGCCAAAGGAAUCCAGCCACAAUAUGCAGAUGACUUUGAAAAGCCUUCAAAAUUAAUUGUUGGGCUUGCUUCCUAAACUGCCUAACUCCAUUGCGAUAAGCCAAGUUUUCUUCAUGAACUUCAAUUUUUGUGAUGAAUAUUGAACAAUAUGUAAGAAAGAACCAUUUCAAAGUUACAAAUUUCAUGCUCUAAAGAACAAUGGAGCAAUAAUUAAGUGAAUAUCUGAGGUGGUCUCCUUUUUAUCCAAAACAAUAAUUAUUUAUUUUUAUCCAUGACACUGGGAGAAUUUCUCUUGCCGGCUACAGAUACAUGUCCCGUUUUUAAUUAUUCAUAAACUAUAUCCACUCGCAAAAGAUUAAAAAUGCAAAGGGUGCGUUUAUUCUCAUGGACUGAUUUUCCAAUGCGUGAAAAGGAUUAUGUAACCAAUGAAAACCUUUUUUAACAUCAUUAGGAUCGGCCGGAGUUCAAUAGAAACCCUCUGAGUUAUCAGAGAAUGAGAAAUCUGAAGUUUCAUUUCUCCAUUACAUCCAACAUUAAUCUUAGAAUUUAUUUAAUUUACAGCUAAUCUCAAAUCAUUUCUUUUACAUAAAAUGCAAUCAGUGCGUUUUUGUCAAACGCAGCCCAUAUUUUGCCACUGACGCGGAAUUUGUAUUUUCCCAAUAUGUUUUCAAUUUAAGUUCUUAUAACUAAAAUAUUACCGUUGGAAAAAAAGAAAUUUUAGUAACCAAGUCAUCACACAAGAAGAAUAAACAUUGUCCAUUAUAAAUCCAGGGAUAUUUAAAGUAACAAGUCAGUUUUUGAAUCAGCAGCUGGCAGUGUAACAUAAGGCACCAUUGUAUGAAAAAAAAAAUAAUUACCUUCUUCUAUGGUGCGUUGAGAACCUGACCAGAGAGACGGAAACAAACUCUCAGGUAUGCAAUGAUUUAUGUGGAGGAUACUACGUGCUGUUGAUUUCUACAGUGACAUCCAUCUCUCCGUAUUUCGGAGCAUAGUUGCUUGGAAAAUCUAAUUUUUCUGAUCAAGAUUGACUGAUGUUUUUUCUGUUUUUUUAUGGGAUAAUCGAAGUGAUGGGCCCUCCCUCCCUGUGCCACUUCAUGAAAAAUGCUCUACUCCUAAUUCGUUCAUACCUUCCUCAGUUAAAAAUUCCCAAGUAUUCCAAGAAUAAACUUCGUAGGUAUGAAGAAUAUUUUUCCUGAAGAGAAACCAUUUUGAAGUGGAACUGAACAACUAGUUGGAGUUUCUCAUGAACUGAGGUUUAGAAGAAAUUGCAUCAAGUGAGCAUAGGAAGUCCAGCAAUUGAUGCGCUGGGUACUGAAAGAGGACUUCUUGGUUGUGGUUUUAAGUAUCUCCAUCACUAAAUUGAAUGUUAAGAGGAAACCGAUUCGUCGUUUCUCUGAAAUUUUAUUUGAAAAUUGCAAAUUUAUGCAGAAUACAUAAUAAAAAUGUCGACGAAACAUAAGUGUUUGCUUCUCUUAAAAUGGAUGGAAUGUCGGCAGGGAUUCCAGAAUACCGCAACCAAGAAGUGCUCUUCCGGCAACCUGAGUCUCAAUUGUUAAUUCUUACCAGAGGAAUGGUGUACAUUCCUCUGAGUAAGACAGUGUACUUGCAUAGGCACUGAUGCACAUGCAUUAUCUGCUUCUUCUUCUUUUUCACUUUUUACCAAUUUUUAGGUGUGCUGAUCAUGUUCCUUAAUAUCUCCUCUACCAGUCCUUCCUGAGCUAGUUGUUGAGCAGAACUUGAGAACUGAGUGAGAUUCCUAGACCUGCUCUGGGCUAAGGUAGAGUUGUAAGAAAGAAUCAGAGUUAAGUGUCACAGGUAUAAUUAUCUAAUAUCUUAUUGCCAUAACUUUCAAUUCCUCAUAGUGUCUGACCAAGGCUUACUUGUUUUCAACAUUAAGAGCAGUGUGUUACGUCACUGGAGCUGAUUAUGAUAAACAGUUCAGCGAUAAUAUUUACUUGAGAUGGCAUCUAGAGAAAGGGUUUAUUCAUUAGCUGAGGUGGUAAAUAAAAUAAUCAGUUAUCAACUUGAGAUAACACAUAUUUGCUCCUAGGCACUUUCUGUAACAUGAUUACCCAACAAAUAAGUAAUAUGAUCGUUUGAAACAUGUGGCAAAUACCUUCAUAGUGAUAUCUGGUUGCCUUUCUCGUGCCACGUGCUCUGGUAGGGUUUAUUUAACCCUAAGCUUCUCUUUUUAUACUUUUUUAGGUGGGUUUAAAUUUAAUUACUUAUUGUGUGGUGAAUCUUUACGGGUUUGUGGAUUUUUCUCUCAUGUUUAUGAUCAAUUCAACCAAUAUGUACAUCAGAUGUCUAAUUUUCUCUGAUACGUUCUAUUUUUUAAGUAGAAAACCAAGCAACAAUUAAACUUAAAAUUUUAUGAACACCUGUAUUUUUAACCUUAGAUAGAUUCACAGAAAUUUUAAAGGUGUUAAGUAGUUAAGUUCGCUGUUGAAAAGUAAACAUGGUAGGGAAAGUAGGCAAGGCGAAGUGCAGUCAGGCUGCAAUUCAAGUUGAAUCUGUCUAUGUCAUGCUUAGAGAGACUGUUCACAAAAUCCAAUCCUAUAGAAGUCCUAUCAUCUAACUAAUGUAAUAGACCUCUUACGUACAGCAACUUAAUCAAUUUUUCUUUAGCAACUAAGAUAUUUUUAUCUAUCUUCAACUUUGACCUCAAAAUAUGGUCCUAGAAUGUUUUAUUCAGUCUUAAAUGUAAGUUCAUAGAUUUUGCAUUUAUGUUAAUAAUAUACAUAUUAAAAAUGGACGAUAUUUUCCUCUAGCUUCCUGUGGUGAAGGUGUAACAUUUCGAAGUCCUAG
This 5776-nucleotide long non-coding RNA is filed under the name Bemisia tabaci. RNAcentral describes it as "lncRNA ENSSWEETPG005927". Lineage: Eukaryota; Metazoa; Arthropoda; Insecta; Hemiptera; Aleyrodidae. The record is from RNAcentral.